GAUGAACGCUAGCGAUAGGCUUAACACAUGCAAGUCGAGGGGCAGCAUGGUCUUAGCUUGCUAAGACUGAUGGCGACCGGCGCACGGGUGCGUAACGCGUAUGCAACUUGCCUCACAGAGGGGGAUAACCCGUCGAAAGACGGACUAAUACCGCGUACACUCCAUCUUGGGCAUCCAAGGUAGAGGAAAUGAAAUUCGCUGUGGGAUAGGCAUGCGUCCCAUUAGCUAGUUGGUGAGGUAACGGCUCACCAAGGCGACGAUGGGUAGGGGAACUGAGAGGUUGAACCCCCACACUGGUACUGAGACACGGACCAGACUCCUACGGGAGGCAGCAGUGAGGAAUAUUGAUCAAUGGGCGAGAGCCUGAACCAGCCAAGUCGCGUGAAGGAUGACUGUCUUAUGGAUUGUAAACUUCUUUUAUACGGGAAUAACAAGAGUCACGUGUGACUCCCUGCAUGUACCGUAUGAAUAAGCAUCGGCUAACUCCGUG
This 490-nucleotide ribosomal RNA is filed under the name uncultured bacterium. Its description in RNAcentral is "partial 16S ribosomal RNA". It matches the Rfam family "Bacterial small subunit ribosomal RNA", at positions 28 to 507 of the family's 1533-position model. The record is from RNAcentral.